UACGGAGGGUGCAAGCGUUGUUCGGAAUUACUGGGCGUAAAGCGCGUGUAGGCGGACAUGCAGGUCAAAUGUGAAAUCCCUUGGCUCAACUGAGGAACUGCAUCUGAAACCGCAUGUCUUGAGUACGAAAGAGGAGUGUGGAAUUCCCAGUGUAGAGGUGAAAUUCAUAGAUAUUGGGAAGAACACCAGUGGCGAAGGCGGCACUCUGGGUCGAUACUGACGCUGAUACGCGAAAGCGUGGGGAG
This 245-nucleotide ribosomal RNA is filed under the name uncultured bacterium. Its description in RNAcentral is "partial 16S ribosomal RNA". It matches the Rfam family "Bacterial small subunit ribosomal RNA", at positions 524 to 768 of the family's 1533-position model. The record is from RNAcentral.